Non-coding RNA from Dermacentor andersoni, 535 nucleotides. Lineage: Eukaryota; Metazoa; Arthropoda; Arachnida; Ixodida; Ixodidae. The record is from RefSeq and is a predicted model, not a curated record.
UUCGAUUUACGUGUUAUUUAACCGCCUGUGAUGUUACAAUCAGAUAUUUGCACAACCAGUUGCAGCUUCAUGUAACUGGUUGUAUGAGACCUUUUUCAAAAUAUGACGUGAUCUUUUUAUAUCACAAGUUUGCAGUUUCAGCAGGGAUUACAAUAAAUAAGUAUUUAUUAUUGUUUAGGGAUGGCAAGAUUUUGUGAACCAGAGGCACCUCCACAUAUGCACCUGCGGCACUUCUGCAGCCUCAACAGCACGGAAAAGUACCUGAUGUGCAUGCUGUGACAAGCUGCUGUAGGUAUGGCUGGACCUGGAGAAGUGUAAGCAGACCAUGCUAUGUUGCUGAUCUGCGCUGAUCUCCACAUCCAAGUUGGUCCCGCGACAGUUGGGCACCAUUGUGCCUUGCUUCAUUGACAAGGUGAUAUAAUAUGGUGCCCUGCUCGCUCUCACCCAAGCAACCCACUCCAGCGGUCUUCUCUCGGCAGACUGGAUGCAUCGAAAUACCGUUAGAAGGUCCAAUAAACAGUGCUUGGGACAUUUA